Paramuricea clavata is the source of this 1216-nucleotide non-coding RNA. The record is from the annotation of a GenBank genome assembly. NCBI's taxonomy places the organism in Eukaryota, Metazoa, Cnidaria, Anthozoa, Malacalcyonacea, Plexauridae.
CAACAAAAUUCAUCUAUUCACGACGAAAGCGAACUGAAUGCUUCGUCACGCUUCAUGCAAACUUUCAAGCGAAUGUGAUCGUAAAUGCCCACGCUCACUUUUUUGAAUAUUUGGAAAUUAAACGAGACUUACCUGUAAGUCGAAGUUUGAUUGUAAUUCUAUAAGUCAUUAGCGAGGAGUGGAGGAGUUGUAGGAGAGACAGUACCGCGCAUGAGUUAACCAGUAUUUAGAGCAUUAAUAUUGGUACAAUGCCUGGAGUGGAGGAGGUAAUCGGGCCUGGGUGUAAUUUCACGGGUGGGCCUACAACUCCUCCACUCCUCGCUAAUGACUUAUAGAAUUACAAUCAAACUUCGACUUACAGGUAAGUCUCGUUUAAUUUCCAAUUCUAUUACGUCAUUAGCUAUAGUCGUUACGUAGUUGUACGAGAAUUUAGAGCUGGCAUUGCACCAAUAUUAUAUCCGAAGAAUAAACAGCAAGAAAGAGAAAACACAAUGUACAGUAUAAGGAAAUAUCACAUAAUAAAAUGAUUAUACAAAUAGACCAUGCAAUUGUUUAGGAUAGUGUAUUCAUAAUAGCACUACCAAAGUUAAAUUCAUUGUUAUCUUUGAAAUGGUAAAAACGUUUGAAAGUCUCUUCUUUUGACCAUCCAGCUGCAUUCAAGAUAUCUUUAAGGUCAAAUUGUUGGGAUGCUAAAUGAGAUGUUGAUGCUGCUCUAGUACUAUGACUCUUAUAUUGUGUAGUAUCAACACCAGCAGUUGUCAUGAAGUUUUUUAUCCAGUGCGAGAUUGUUUCCGUUGAGAUGGGUUUGUAAGGUUUCACAAAACUAAUAAGAAGCUGCUUGUUGUCACCACGAACGGGUGAUGUUCGUUUUAAAUAUUCCUGUAAAUAUGUUAGGAUACACAAUUUUUGAUCAGCAACAUAACCAUUUACAAGGGAAUUUACCAUCAUUCGUCCAAAAAAUUAUAAAAAGUCGCUGUUAUGUGGACUUAUCUCGCAGACUUCGGCUGAAAAGCCACCCAUGCAAAAAUGGCGGCGUGAGAAAGGCUAAUUUCGAUCUUCAUUGUGGAAAUGGUCACUACUACCUUUGCCAUAAACAGUAUUCACUACCACCUUUGCCAUAAAACUUUGACCCGACAAAAUGUUAAAAACAGCUAAAUGUGAGUUUAAAUGGGGGGUUUGUAUGAAAUUCAGGUGGCUUUGCCCCACUAUCAGAAAG